GCUUCUUGGUGGGUCAGACGGCGAAGGUAGCAGUUGCCCGGCUCGUCACGGCUUUGUCCCUGGCACGGAUCCUAAUGAGAACUUCAAAGUCUCUGUCACGAAUGGGAGAGUGAAUGUGACUGGUGAAGCUCCUGCUCGUGGCCAUGACUCUGCUAGCCGUUUCUACUCCGGUGACGUGGCUGUGCUCUCCGCUCCUGUUGACCUUCCUAGCCGUCGGGUCAAAACCAUCGCCAAGAACGGUGUGCUUCGCCUCCUCAUCCCUUCAGUUUGAUGAUGACUUCAUGAUGAGACCUUGUGUUCGUUAUCUGAGUAUCUGACGUCUUUCAUCUAGAAUGGACCGUUUUUUCCCGGGAUUGUGUCGUUGUUAUGUGGAUUAUGUCGGUUUAUGUUUUAUGACUACUUUGGAUGAUGUCUCAACGACACAAACUUAUUUUGUCUAACGCUCUACUCUUUAUUGAGUCACUCAAAAUUGUUAUCAGUUUCCAAUUAUGUC
Molecule: non-coding RNA, 493 nt
Organism: Camelina sativa (false flax)
Lineage: Eukaryota; Viridiplantae; Streptophyta; Magnoliopsida; Brassicales; Brassicaceae
Source: RefSeq, a predicted model, not a curated record